GAGUUUGAUCCUGGCUCAGGUUGAACGCUGGCGGCAGGCCUAACACAUGCAAGUCGAGCGGAUGACGGGAGCUUGCUCCUUGAUUCAGCGGCGGACGGGUGAGUAAUGCCUAGGAAUCUGCCUGGUAGUGGGGGACAACGUUUCGAAAGGAACGCUAAUACCGCAUACGUCCUACGGGAGAAAGCAGGGGACCUUCGGGCCUUGCGCUAUCAGAUGAGCCUAGGUCGGAUUAGCUAGUUGGUGGGGUAAUGGCUCACCAAGGCGACGAUCCGUAACUGGUCUGAGAGGAUGAUCAGUCACACUGGAACUGAGACACGGUCCAGACUCCUACGGGAGGCAGCAGUGGGGAAUAUUGGACAAUGGCGAAAGCCUGAUCCAGCCAUGCCGCGUGUGUGAAGAAGGUCUUCGGAUUGUAAAGCAC
Molecule: ribosomal RNA, 421 nt
Filed under: bacterium enrichment culture clone ALO1_GLFRUDD03HIVO8
Lineage: Bacteria
Description: bacterial SSU rRNA
Rfam family: Bacterial small subunit ribosomal RNA
Source: RNAcentral